RNAcentral lists this ribosomal RNA (253 nucleotides) under uncultured bacterium. Its description in RNAcentral is "partial 16S ribosomal RNA". It matches the Rfam family "Bacterial small subunit ribosomal RNA", at positions 524 to 776 of the family's 1533-position model. The record is from RNAcentral.
UACGUAGGGUGCGAGCGUUAAUCGGAAUUACUGGGCGUAAAGCGUGCGCAGGCGGUUUUGUAAGCCAGGUGUGAAAUCCCCGGGCUCAACCUGGGAAUGGCAUUUGGGACUGCAAGGCUGGAGUGCGGCAGAGGAGACUGGAAUUCCUGGUGUAGCAGUGAAAUGCGUAGAUAUCAGGAGGAACACCAAUGGCGAAGGCAGCACUCUGGGACGUGACUGACGCUGAGACGCGAAAGCGUGGGGAGCAAACAGG